This 5172-nucleotide long non-coding RNA is filed under the name Brassica rapa (field mustard). RNAcentral's name for it is "long non-coding RNA (BRAP_LNC005681)". Lineage: Eukaryota; Viridiplantae; Streptophyta; Magnoliopsida; Brassicales; Brassicaceae. The record is from RNAcentral.
AACUCAAUGCUGAGUUCCUUCCUCGCGAUCUUGACGGAACUCGAUUUGAGUAUCUCGCCUCAGCUCGGUGAGCUUUUGACACGCUUUCCUUUCUCACAGACCUUGUCUUGUAUCACACUGGGGUAGGUCCCUGACACAUAUGGUUUGUAGCUAGUGGUAGGUGGUUGGUGACGCUUACUGAUUCCGUAGAACUCAGAUUAGCACAUCAUGAUUGUUGAGUGCUCCUUGCUGUCAAGCCCGUGACUGCUUGACCUUUCCAUGUUCCUCCACCUGAGUCGAGAACUCUUCUCGACCCUGUCUGGGCUCCAGGUAUCUCCUAUUACCCUUAUCACGGUGUUCCUUAUUACGGUUUGACUCCCAUUACACAUACUUACAUACAUAACUGCUUGUGUUAUGCGAGGGUGGAGUCAAUUCGAAUAGGAUCACCUGGAGCCUUCUCCACCUUAUUAGUGGACGUUCAAAAGCUCACAGCAAAGCUGGAACUUCUGACCAGGUACUGUCUUCGUUAGGAAAUCAGCUGGGUUAACGUUAGUAUGAAUCUUGUUUAGGAUGAUGUCCCCUGAUUCCACUAGGUCUCGAAUGAAGUUGAAUUUGGUAGCUAUGUGCUUUGUCUUUUCGUGAUUGACUGGGUUUCUUGCUAGAGCUAGUGCACUCUGAGAGUCGCAGUGUAGGUUAAUACUUUGUUGUUUGAACCCCAACUCUGAGCAUAUUUCUUUUAGCCACAUUGCUUCUUUAGCUGCUUCAUUCAUAGCCAUGUACUCUGCUUCUGUGGUAGAUAGAGCCACAACUGAUUGUAGGCAAGAUUUCCAAGAAAUAGUGUUGCCUCCAAACUUGAAUACAUAGCCUGUAACUGAGCGUCUCCUGUCUAUGUCUGUAGCAUAAUCUGAGUCUGAAUAUCCUUCCACGUGCAAAGUAGAAUGUUUCUUAAAUGUUAGGUUAGACUCAGUCGCUCCUUUUAAGUACCUGAGAACCCACUGAACUGCUUUCCAGUGUUCUCUCCCUGGUUUACUCAUGAAUCGACAUACAUAGCCCACUGCAAAACCUAGAUCAGGUCUGGAGCCUACCAUAGCGUACAUAAGACUCCCCACAGCACUAGCAUAUGGAACUCUCUCCAUAUGUGAAGCUUCUACUUUCCACUCAUCCUCCGUCAGACUCCUGAGUCUGAAGUGUGACGCAGUAGGAGUAAUCACUGGCUUAGCGUCCUGCAUUCCAAACGUUCUUAGGACCUUUUCAAUGUAGUUACUCUGAGAUAGGAUCAGGGUUCCUUUCUCUCGGUCUCUUGUAAUAUCCAUGCCCAAAAUUCUUGAGGCUUUUCCCAUAUCCUUCAUCUCGAAUUCUCCACUCAGUUUUUCCUUAAGAUCUUUUAUUACCUUUUUGUUUCCUGAUGCGAUUAACAUGUCAUCGACAUAGAGAAGUAGAUAGAUAGCCUUCUCCGUUUGAACAUCUCUCAUGUAGACACACAGGUCUUUGCUGCAGCGCUCAAACAACUGAUCCUUCAUGAAACUGUUGAACCGAUGGUUCCAUCUUCUUGGGGAUUGUUUUAAGCCGUACAAAGACUUUCUCAACAAGCAAACUUUGUUCUCUGUUCCUGGCUUUAUAAACCCCUCUGGCUGUUCCAUUAGGAUCCUCUCCUCUAGGCUUCCAUGUAGAAAGGCAGUUUUAACAUCCAUCUGCUCUAGUUCUAGGUUUAGGUUCACUACAAUGCUGAGCAUAAGCCUGAUGGAAACAUGUUUCACAACUGGUGAGAAAAUUUCGUUGUAGUCAACUCCUUCAGUCUGAGAAUAACCUUUAGCAACUAGUCUGCCUUUGUGUCGUUUAUCCUCAACACCUGGGAUUCCUGGCUUUAUCUUGAAUAGCCACCUGCAUCCAACAAGCUUCGAAUUUGCAGGCCUGUCAAUGAGAUCCCAGGUUCUAUUCUUUCUAUGUGACUCCAUCUCUUCUUCAGCCGCAUUCUUCCACAGCUUCCUUUGUGGGCUUCUCAUUGCCUCAGCAUAGGACUUAGGUUCCUGAACUUCCAGAUCUGCGAUGACAUUGAGGGCGUAGGCAACAAAAUUUCCAUCCUCGUAACGUGAUGGAGGCCUCACGUUCUGCCUCCUUUCUCUAUCUCGAGCCAAAACAUAGGUGUCUAGGGAGUCAGUGCCUGCAUUCUCACUCUCCCCUUCCUCAACAUGUCCCUGGUUACUAGAACAUGUAGAACUGUCAGACGAUGACUCAGAUGAUGAAUCUUCUCCACCUUGAUCAGGUGUAGCUUCGAGUUCGGGAGAAAGUGAAGGACCCCUGAUCAAUUCAUCACUGAAUGAUACUCUCUUUUUAGCUCUUUUCUCACGUUUAUUGUCUUUCUCUUUUGCCACUUCUAUGUUUUUCUUUUCUGUGGCAAGCGUGUGCUUGUAGAGCUCAUCCUCAUUAAAGACAACGUUUCUGCUUGUUCUGCAUCUCCCUUCUUCCUCUAUCCAUACUCGAUAUCCUUUAGAGCCCAUAGGGUAGCCUACAAACACUCCCUUGAUGGCUCUAGGUCCAGUUUUCUCUUCUGUCACAUGAACAUAUGCGGAACAUCCAAACGUUCUGAGAUGUCCCAAAUCAGGUUUGAAUCCCGACCAAACUUCCUCAGGUAGCUUAAACUCCAGCGUGGAGUUAGGUGACCUGUUAAUCAAAUAGAUUGCAGUCGCUGCCGCUUCUGCCCAGAAGCUUUGGUCCAAGCCAGAUUCGGCUAACAUACAUCUCACCUUAUCCAUAAUAGUUCUGUUCAUCCUCUCUGAAACCCCAUUCUGCUGUGGAGUGUAGGUGCAGGUUCUGUGCCUCUUAAUCCCGGCUUUCUUGCAGUACUCAUCAAACUGCUUGUUGCAGAACUCCAAACCAUUGUCUGUUCUUAAACAUUUAAUCUUCUUCUCUGUCUUAGUCUCAACCUCAGCCUUCCAUUCUCUGAACUUAGAAAAUACCUCAUCCUUAGUCUUCAAAAAAUAGAUCCAGACUUUCUUUGAAAAAUCAUCAAUAAAAGUAACAAAGUACUUAUUUCCAGCAAGACUAUCUGGUGUAGACGGAGAACCCCAAAGAUCAGAAUGAAUAUACUCUAGAAUUCCUUUAGUCACGUGCUUAGCCUUAGGAAAGCUCAGCUUAUGUGACUUACCAAUUAUGCAAUGCUCGCAGAAAUCCAACUCCUUAACAUCCUUGUCAGUUAUAAAUCCAUUCUUGACAAGUGUAGACAUAUUCUUGAGACUCAUAUGACCGAGGCGUGAAUGCCAAACAUUAGUCAUAUUCCUUUCAGGUCUGGAUAAAUUUGCCUCUCCUCUCAAAACUGUUCCUUGAAGAUAAUAUAGUCCUAAAUGAUAUCUCCCUGAGAGAAUCCUUUUAUCGUCCUUGUAAAAGUUAACACUUAGGUCCUUGCCUUCAUACCAACAGCCUGCUGUUUCCAACAUUCCAUAUGAAAUCAGAUUUCUGCUCAUAUCUGGCAUGUAUCUGACUCCUGUUAAGAUAACCAGAGAACCAUCUGGGUUAAGAAUUUUAAUCUUUCCAAUUCCUUUAACGUUGCUGUGAGUGUUAUUUGCCAUUAACACUUUUCCUCCUUUGAAUUCUUCCAAGUCAAAUAGGAAGCUCUUGUCAGGAGUGAUAUGAAAAGAGCAGCCUGAAUCCAUCACCCACUCAUCUUUUGUAUCCUGAGUGCUAACGCUGAGGAUUAGAGGCUCUGUGGACUCUGCUACUACGUUGGCUGAGUCCUGCGGUUUGAAAGAUCUCUUCUCAGGGCACUCUCUCUUCCAAUGGCCCUCUUUGCCACAUAUGAAACAUCCUUUGUUGUUUUUGUUGUUCCUAGGGCGUGAUUUAGAUCUUCCAUUCCGGCUUUUGGAUCUUCCUUUGUAGGAUUUGCCAUUGCCCUUUCCAGAUCGCUGGUCUGAUCUUCCUCUAUCAGCCACCAUCAGACCUUCUCCACCUGACCUGGUAUACUUACCGCUCUCAAUUAGUUCUCUCUCUUUGGACCUGGCGGCCCCUGUGACCUCCGCUAGACUCAGAGUGUCUCUCCCAUACUUGAGAGUCUCCUUGAGUUGAUCAUACUUGUUAGGUAGAGAACUUAGCAGUAGGAUAGCUUGAACUUCCUCAGAUACUUCAACUUGCAGGUUGUUUAAGUCUGCCACUAACUUUAGGAAGUCAUCCACAUUCUCAUCAAUGGAUUUUGAAUCUGCCAUCUUGAAAGUAUAGAACCUGAGCUGUAGAUAAAUCCUGUUGGGUAGAGAAGUCUCUGUGUACAAGUUGUUUAGUGUACUCCACAUUGCAGCAGCAGUUUCACAAUGUUGGAUUUUCCUCAAGACUUUGUUCCCAACGUUCAGCACAAUCAGGUCCUUGGCUUUCUCUGAUUUUUCGAAUUUUACAGGGUCAAUUGCAGGUGUGGGAGCAACAAGUCCAGCUAGCCCCUUUCCCGUGUCCUUAAUUGCUGACUCGGGUUCAUCCUUUGGAUCAGACUCAUCCUUUAGAAGCUUCUCAUCUGUGAGGAUAGUUUUCAAUCCAAGCACUCCAAAGUGAGCAAGCAUUCUCACCUUCCAAAGGGCAAAAUCUCCAUCACCCUCGAAUCGAUCUAUAUCCACGCGUUCCUUAGACGACACCAUUGAACAGGUACUGGAUAUAUGUUUUUCUCUUCCUAAGCAACCUUUGGAAAACCUUGAGCUCUGAUACCACUUGUAGAGAUUAUUCUUUAGGUUUACUUAGGUUCCAAGUUUACUUUAGACCUAGGACUAAUACUGAAAGUAAUGACACAAUCAAUUUAACGAGUUCCCGGCCCUCGGCACGGUACGUCUCGUGGGAGAACUCCUGCUCCCAAAUUCCACUAGAUCAAAGAGUUACUAAUCACACCAACUCAGUGUGGAUUAGGUUGGUUACAAUAAGAUCACCUCAGCUUAUAGCUAGAGAAUACAACAACUUAGCGUAAGAAGAUAGACUUAAGCCUAAGCUAUUUCUCCUUGUUGAAGUCUCCUUUCCCUUGCUCUGUAUGCUAGAUCUCCUGUUGCUUGUAACCCUAUGUUGUUGCUUGUAUCUGUCGUAACCUAAUCACCAUACUAACAUUACCUUAUAUAUGCUUCGUAUGUGAUCAGGUGGUACAAGCUUGGAGUGGGCCUGCGCUGACUUGGCCCAAGGAGGUAUGCUUCUGCUGGCCCAUUAGACUCUUCUGCGAAGCCCAAACUCUACAAU